This 73-nucleotide transfer RNA is filed under the name Canis lupus familiaris (dog). It matches the Rfam family "tRNA". From Rfam's summary of the family: Transfer RNA (tRNA) molecules are approximately 80 nucleotides in length. Their secondary structure includes four short double-helical elements and three loops (D, anti-codon, and T loops). RNAcentral also lists the same sequence under 1 other name. Lineage: Eukaryota; Metazoa; Chordata; Mammalia; Carnivora; Canidae. The record is from Rfam by way of RNAcentral.
ACCUGGCUGGCUCCACUGGUAGAGCAUGUGACUCUUGAUCUUGUGGUUUUGAGUUCAAACCCCAUGCUGGGUG